CCUACGGGUGGCAGCAGUGGGGAAUAUUGCACAAUGGGGGAAACCCUGAUGCAGCGACGCCGCGUGAGUGAAGAAGUAUUUCGGUAUGUAAAGCUCUAUCAGCAGGGAAGAAGAAAGACGGUACCUGACUAAGAAGCCCCGCCUAACUACGUGCCAGCAGCCGCGGUAAUCCGUAGGGGGCAAGCGUUAUCCGGUUUUACUGGGUGUAAGGGGAGCGUAGACGGCUGUGCAAGUCGGAAGUGAAAGCCCAGGGCUCAACCCUGGGCCUGCUUUGGAAACUGUGGGGCUAGAGUGCUGGAGAGGUAAGUGGAAUUCCUAGUGUAGCGGUGAAAUGCGUAGAUAUUAGGAGGAACACCAGUGGCGAAGGCGGCUUACUGGACAGUAACUGACGUUGAGGCUCGAAAGCGUGGGGAGCAAACAGGAUUAGAUACCCUGGUAGUC
Molecule: ribosomal RNA, 441 nt
Filed under: uncultured bacterium
Lineage: Bacteria
Description: partial 16S ribosomal RNA
Rfam family: Bacterial small subunit ribosomal RNA
Source: RNAcentral